Molecule: unclassified non-coding RNA, 273 nt
Filed under: plant metagenome
Description: partial contains 5.8S ribosomal RNA, internal transcribed spacer 2, and large subunit ribosomal RNA
Source: RNAcentral
GGUCGCAACCUUGAAGGGCGGAGGCGACGGUCCGACAGUGGCAUUAAGGGCCGACAUGGACGCCCUGCCUAUCCACGAGGAGACAGGGCUAUCGUUCGCCUCGGGAGAGGACGGCAAGAUGCAUGCUUGCGGUCACGACGGUCAUACGAGCAUGCUCGUCGGCGCCGCACGCGCCCUCUCGCAAGACCACCUGCGUGAAAGGCUGGGCGGCAGUGUCAAGUUCAUCUUCCAGCCCGCCGAGGAGAAGGGCGGUGGAGGCCAGGUGAUGGUCGA